This 287-nucleotide ribosomal RNA is filed under the name uncultured bacterium. RNAcentral's name for it is "partial 16S ribosomal RNA". It matches the Rfam family "Bacterial small subunit ribosomal RNA", at positions 348 to 640 of the family's 1533-position model. The record is from RNAcentral.
GCAGCAGUGGGAUUUGACAAUGGCGAAAGCUGAUCCAGCCAUGCGCGUGCAGAUGAGCUUUUCGGGUGUAAACUGCUUUGUACGGACGNAAAAGCUCNUUCUAUAAGNNAGAGGUCAUGACGGUACCGUAGAAUAAGCACCGGCUAANUACGUGCCAGCAGCGCGGUAAAUACGUAGGGUGCGAGCGUUAUUCGGAAUUACUGGGCGUAAAGCGUGCGCAGGCGGUGAUGUAAGACAGAUGUGAAUCCCCCNGGCUCANCCUGGGAACUGCAUUUGUGACUGCAUCG